This 424-nucleotide long non-coding RNA is filed under the name Ananas comosus (pineapple). RNAcentral's name for it is "long non-coding RNA (ACOM_LNC043943)". Lineage: Eukaryota; Viridiplantae; Streptophyta; Magnoliopsida; Poales; Bromeliaceae. The record is from RNAcentral.
GGUUUCUUUUUUUAACAAAAAAAUAACAUAUUACUCAUUCCAUUUAUUUUUUUUAAAAAUAAACUUAGCUGAAAAUAUAAAACAACUAAAUUUUAAAUUUGGAAUCCCGAAUAUCAACCACCGAACUCUUUGCUACUUGUACCGGGGCCGGUCGGUCAAAUUACUAGUUUCUUACAAUUAGGUAUCGUUUGGUUCGGGGAUGAGUAAAAAGUGGGUAUUCCAGGGAUAGGUGUAAAUUGAGGUACAAGCGGGGAUUAGAUCAAUUUUAUGUUUGGAUGAAAAUUAGGUUAUUUCUGGAAAUAAGAAAAAUAAUGUUUGGUUAGGUAAGAUGGAAUAAGAAUUAAAAUAGAUAGCUAUAAAUAAAAAUUAAUAAUAUUAUCUCUUUCUUUAUAUUAGAAUUUGAAUAUGAAAAUCUUUCUUGUUA